Long non-coding RNA from Asterias rubens (European starfish), 1141 nucleotides. RefSeq lists it as uncharacterized. The transcript has 5 exons. Lineage: Eukaryota; Metazoa; Echinodermata; Asteroidea; Forcipulatida; Asteriidae. The record is from RefSeq and is a predicted model, not a curated record.
UUACACGAGGCCAGAGAGGGACAAAACUGACCAACUUCAAUGUGGAACCGUAAUCACGGCUGUACGAAUUCCACGGAGUUUGUAUGAACUUUUAGCUAACAGCUGGACUAAUUUGAUGGGCCUAUGUUUUAUGUAACCGCAGGAGGUAUUCGAGCCAUCUGUUAUUCUACUUAUUGGAAGGAAUUUAUUGUUCUAAGUUGGGCGACAACUGUGUUGAGCUUUGAGAGUUCUACAUCGUCGUUGUGGAACUCUUGUCUGUGCGAAUUCCACCGAGUUAGCCUGUCAUGGCCUGAUGAAAAGUGUAGCUAAUGGAGCCAUUCGAAUACAUGGCCAGGUACGGUAGGGGAGCACAGGGACGGACGACAUGACCGGGGAGGCCGACACGAUCGAGCAUGACGGGGAGAGAGAGCCAACCACACGGCAUGCAUUCAGCCACGCGCCUACAGGGGCCCGGGUGCGUGCGUGCGGGUGUUUCAGCAAUGGCGAAUAGUGUUUCUUCAAAUCAAGCCGAUUUUCUUCUUGGGUCAUGGCCCAUGAAAGCUAGAAAUUAACAUGAACUUCAAAUACUUAAGACAUGAUCUUUUGGAGAAAUAUGUGUGAUAUUUUGUCUCAUGAUGAUCAGCAAUGUCUGUCAAGAAGGAAGUUUUAAACUUCAAUCGAGAAAUCUUCAAGUUCAUUAUUUGUCUAAUGAGCGAUAUGUCAAUUGACAAGUGUUCAAGAAAGCAAUGUUCAAGCAAGAAAUCUUCAAAUACACAGUGGAUCUUGUCAGAAUGAUGGAGAAUGUGAAGCUUUAGAUGACACUGAUGAUGAAAACAAGGAGGACUUUGCGGAACAUUCCCAGAUGACUUCGGCCAACAAUCAAAAAAAAUAUCAGAGUAUUCAUCAGAACCUGUUCAAGCUGGUAUGGAAAGAUCUGGCUGUAUGAGACUUCGGCCAACAAUCAAAAAAAAUAUCAGAGUAUUCAUCAGAACCUGUUCAAGCUGGUAUGGAAAGAUCUGGCUGUAUGAGAUGUUUUCCAAGCAGCAGUUAAAAGCUCCGGUAUACGCUACUCCAUGGUGAAUCUCAGAGAUUUUCUGGAUAAUCGGGUAAGUAACACCCGGUUCAGACAGUCACUGCAGAGUUGCGCCGAAUAGAUUAGGAG